UUAUCAUCGCUAGGAAUUUCCCGUGAUACGCAUGCGCUACUUCAAUAAAAUCAGGCAAUGUGGCGGCAGCUGAUAUUGCUGCUGGCUGAACUAAGUAAUACUGCUACAUCAUUGGCUUUACCUAGUACUGCUGCUACUAGCAUUACUGUAUCUCUAUCACAACAACUAGUAGCACCCGGCAUUGUGGCCUGUAGAUUCCCACUACAAUGGAGACAGCAAAUGGAUGAAGGAACAAGGGUGUUGCUGUCAUGAAUGUACCACGAAAGCACAACGGAAAGUGCCUAUUAUUCAAUACUGCCUCUCUAUAACACUUCAAUUGACACUCCCUGUCGGAUAUUGCACGCCAUUGAUGCUAUCAUUACAAUCAUACAGAAUAACUGAAGUGGUACCACAUUACCUAAUGAGAUGUUCCUAUUCUAAACCGUGUUUCUAUCGUGCAGUUUCUCGUUAGAAUAGAUAACAUCUCACCUAACGGAUUAUUAAUUGCCUCAGUUGGUGUGUCGAUUUAUCAACCAAAUCGGAUGUUCCUUUUCUCAUUUUCUUGUAAUUAUCAUUAGAAUAUGACUAGUCAAAAAGCACUAUCAACAUUAGUUGCAUCAUAACUACCUUAUUAGUGUUUUAUGUAUAUAUAUAUGUUUAGAACACCCUCUGUUUUGUUUGUGGGGCAAAUAGUGGCUACUUAAUAAUCAGACUCUAUGUUUAUAGCAGGUGGUAAUUAAGUAUUGUAUUUCCUAAUUGAAAUUGAAUUAUAAACUUGCUAAUAUAUAUCGAUAUAUAUAUAUAUGUAUAUAUAAGUGUAUAUAUAUAUUAAAAAAAGAAAAAAAAAAACUAGCGUUUCAUUGAACGAGCGAAGAACACGGAGACAGGUAUAAUUAAGUUUCCACCGGAAGUGGAGGAGGGAGAUUCGUGUCUUAUCGUUUAUGAUUCUUCGGAGUAGAUUUCAUAAUUCAACUAUUUAUAAAAGUGAAACUGGUUUUGGAUCUGUAUAUGUGCUGUAGCUGGUCACCGCCGACCAACUUCCUUCAACAUGGCGACGGAAGUGAAGGAUGUGCUUGCGACUGCUAGCUCCAACACCACUAAGGCUUCCUCUACCACUAAAGACACUUCCCCUACGAUGGUGACACCCAACACUCUCGAAAACACUUCUGUAUCAGUUGUCUCUACCUCUAGUGCCCCCAAUACUACUGGGAUGAGCGCCUCGAAUCCUAGUAGUCCCAAUAUACCUGAAGUGCCAACAGAAGGAAAUGGUGGUAGUAGCCAGCCACAGCAAAAUACAACACAGCAACAAACAGCAUCUCAACAGACAGGAUUAUUACAAACUAGUGAUACCAAAACACCUACAGGUAGUGUACCACCACCUUCAACAACUUCCAUAUCCAGCAGUUCUCAAACCACUACCAGUCCUGUCGGUGCAGGCGCCGGCAUGAAAAAAGCUGAUAAACAGAAACCAAUGCCUCUAGAUACUCAUAUUUCUGUGGGACCAGGUCAUGGACCAAAAACUCCUUCGUUGGGGACGGCUAGAGAUCGUGAAAAGAAAAUCGGUCAUCGGAGGGUGGACGAAUCAGGUGUUGUGACAUAUAAAAAGAAACCAACCUCAGAAUUGAUGGCUGCCAUCCAACUGGGGAUUGGUCAAAGUGUUGGUGGACUCUCAUCCAAACCAGAGCGUGAUGUACUCUUACAAGAUUUUGCUGUAGUUGAAAGUGUGUUUUUUCCAAGUGAAGGUAGUAAUCUUACACCAGCUCAUCACUACAGUGAUUUUCGAUUCAAGACGUAUGCUCCUGUAGCGUUUCGAUAUUUCCGUGAACUAUUUGGAAUCCAUGCUGAUGAUUUCAUGCUCUCAUUGUGCACAGAACCCCUUCAGGAGCUUUGUAACCCUGGAGCUAGUGGCAGUAUAUUUUAUAUUACUGAUGAUGAUGAAUUUAUCAUAAAGACUGUCCAACACAAAGAGGCAGAAUUUUUACAAAAAUUGCUUCCAGGCUAUUAUCUGAAUUUAAAUCAAAAUCCACGAACCCUCUUACCAAAAUUUUAUGGUCUCUACUGUUAUCAAUGUGCCGGUAAAAAUAUCCGUUUUUGUGUGAUGAAUAACCUGCUGCCGUCUUCCAUCAAAUUAACUGAAAAGUAUGACUUGAAAGGUAGCACUUACAAACGGAAAGCGUCCCGACAUGAACGAGCAAAAGAAAGUCCCACAUUAAAAGAUCUGGAUUUUUUGGACAACCAUCCUGAUGGCCUCACACUCGAAAAAGAAACAUAUGAUGCUCUGAUCAAGACUAUACAAAGAGAUUGCCGGGUGUUAGAAAGCUUCAAGAUUAUGGAUUACAGUUUACUGGUUGGUAUAUAUAAUCUUGACCUCGCAGCUGCCAAGGAGAAAGAAAAAGAGAAGGCAUUCGAUGUGAAAACUGAUCCAGCUGCUCCUUUAAAUGUGAAUGAAGAUGGACCUGGUAGAGGAUGGGCAACAAUUAAAGUAAACCUUGCCCGCGGAAAGUCUAUACGCACGCGUUUAGCACAAUAUUCCACUGCAAUGGAAGCAAUUCAAGCAGAUACCUCAGAUCGGCAAGGGGAAACAGAAGACGAUGUUCAACUUGGAGGCAUUCCUGCACGAAAUAGUAAAGGAGAAAGAUUAUUAUUAUAUCUUGGCUUAAUUGAUAUUUUGCAAAGUUAUCGCUUGAAGAAAAAAUUGGAACAUACAAUGAAAGCAAUAAUUAUUGAAGGGGACACAAUAUCCGUGCAUCGACCUGGAUUUUAUUCUGAACGAUUUCAAAAUUUCUUUGCUAAUACUGCUUUUAAGAAAACCCAAACUCCCUUGAAGCAUUCCCCUUCCAAAAAGAAGACUUCCAUAGCUGGCCGGCCACGUUUUCCUACAACCAGUGAACUUGCUGCUGAUGCUGGACAGACCAGCAAGCAAUCCGACAGAAACCAACGCACUAUUAGCUUUUCAGAUGAAAGUGGUAAAAAGUCUGCUUUGGGAGGCAGACCAGAUAUUGUACCUGAAAACCAUGCCAGCUUAUAUGGUGAAAGGGAUUCUUAUCAUAGUGGAGAGUAUACAUAUAACAAAGACGGCCAGAGGAAAAUGAGAUCUCUUGACUCUGGAAGAUCUGGACUUACUGAUCAUGGGAAAAGUUCCACUUCCUGUAUGACUCAUUUUCUUGGAUUGAUAGGAGAUGGCUGCAUCUGCUCGAUGGUGAAUGCACCGUCUCAGGUGAAUUCUUUCUCUCGCUCAUCUCCUAGGACACGUAAAAGAUCUGAUAUGGUAUCUAAUGCAUCUUCUAGUCCAACCUUCACAAGAUCUGACAUGUGUGGAGGAGUAUUACCUCCAGCCAGCAGUUUGGGUCACUCACCUCCACUCAGUUUGUCUGAGUCUACACCUACUCAUACUGAGUACACAGAAGGUACACCGAGCUAUACAACCUCAAGUCCUAGUUGUUCCAGUGAUGUACUAGACACCAAAAGAAAGGUCUAUCCUCCCGGAAAGAUUAUCUCCAUGUGUAAUGAUCGGAUUCACUGUGGAAACUCUGUCAAACCUCACUGCCAGCACCUUGGUUUGACCAGAAAAUACAUAGACUGCGGAAGUAGAGCUAGGUUAAGCCAGAGUCUUCCGACUAUGUGGGCUUCGGCUUUGAGUAUGGAAAAAGAGUCCACAUGCAGUGAUUCCCAGUCUUUUGCACCCUUCAGUUCCAGUGAGGCUGGCACACUGGCAGGUACUUCUCCUUUGUCUGGAACACCUGAUAAAGUAUCUCCCAUGAAGAAAGGGAGCAGUAGCACAGAGACGUCAUAUGCCAGUGCCUUGGAGGCGCAAGAUAAUUACGACACGGACCCCAACGUGUUACGGGCUGCACAGUCUGUCAUUAGAGAAUCUGCUAUCCAUGUGAUGGCGAGCAACCUAGAUGACCACCCAGAAGAAGUGGAAGGUGAUUUUUUACAUGGAAUGUCAAGCUGACUUAGGAAAAAAGUUUUGGAUUUUGUAAAUUUAAUUUGAGCAUGCGCUAUUUAGACUCAUUUAUAGGCAGCUGUGAUUAUUCCUGUGUGUACCCUGGUGAAAAAUGGGCGGCCAACAGUCUGCAGUCAUUCUGUGAUGUUGUCAUGCAGGUUACUAAUUCACCAA
Molecule: unclassified non-coding RNA, 4099 nt
Filed under: Octopus sinensis (East Asian common octopus)
Lineage: Eukaryota; Metazoa; Mollusca; Cephalopoda; Octopoda; Octopodidae
Description: phosphatidylinositol 4-phosphate 5-kinase type-1 alpha, transcript variant X14
Source: RNAcentral